Molecule: long non-coding RNA, 380 nt
Filed under: Musa acuminata (dwarf banana)
Lineage: Eukaryota; Viridiplantae; Streptophyta; Magnoliopsida; Zingiberales; Musaceae
Description: long non-coding RNA (MACU_LNC001561)
Source: RNAcentral
UGGGCGGUGCAGAUGUUGCUGGUGGCCUUAUCUCUCCUGAUAUGCUGCUCUCUGGUCUGCAUCGCCAUCCGCAGUGCAGGCUUGCCAGAGGAGUCGACGCUGACCCCGAUGAUUCUACCGGGCAUCAUCCUCUUGUACUCCUGCGAUGUGGCCAGGAACGCAGCAUGCGGACCGCCGUAGCCCAUGGGCACCCCGAACCUCUGAGCAGAUCCAACGACGAUGUCGGCUCCAAGCUCGCCCGGUGGCUUGAGAACCGUCAGCGCCAGCAGGUCGGUCGCCAUCACAACCUUGACGCCGUGGGCAUGGGCGUUCUUGAUGAAUUCACCGUAGUCCAAGAUCUCACCUUCCGUGCCAGGGUACUGAACCAGCACCCCACAAAC